This 253-nucleotide ribosomal RNA is filed under the name uncultured bacterium. RNAcentral's name for it is "partial 16S ribosomal RNA". It matches the Rfam family "Bacterial small subunit ribosomal RNA", at positions 524 to 776 of the family's 1533-position model. The record is from RNAcentral.
UACAGAGGGGGCUAGCGUUGUUCGGAAUUACUGGGCUUACAGGGUGCGUAGGCGGCUUGUUAAGUAGGGUGUGAAAGCCCCCGGCUCAACCGGGGAAUUGCGCCCUAAACUGGCGAGCUGGAGUGAGAUAGGGGUGUGUGGAACUUCCGGUGGAGCGGUGAAAUGUGUUGAUAUCGGAAGGAACGCCGGUAGCGAAAGCGACACACUGGGUCUUGACUGACGCUGAGGCACGAAAGCCAGGGGAGCGAACGGG